This 405-nucleotide ribosomal RNA is filed under the name uncultured bacterium. RNAcentral describes it as "bacterial SSU rRNA". It matches the Rfam family "Bacterial small subunit ribosomal RNA", at positions 934 to 1326 of the family's 1533-position model. The record is from RNAcentral.
CCGGGGCGCGCCCCGGGCGGGGCGGGGGCACGGGGGGAACGCGAAGAACCUUACCUGGCCUUGACAUCCAGAGAACUUAGCAGAGAUGCUUUGGUGCCUUCGGGAACUCUGAGACAGGUGCUGCAUGGCUGUCGUCAGCUCGUGUUGUGAAAUGUUGGGUUAAGUCCCGCAACGAGCGCAACCCUUAUCCUUUGUUGCCAGCGGUUCGGCCGGGAACUCAAAGGAGACUGCCGGUGAUAAACCGGAGGAAGGUGGGGAUGACGUCAAGUCAUCAUGGCCCUUACGGCCAGGGCUACACACGUGCUACAAUGGCGCAUACAAAGAGAAGCGACCUCGCGAGAGCAAGCGGACCUCAUAAAGUGCGUCGUAGUCCGGAUUGGAGUCUGCAACUCGACUCCAUGAAGU